Molecule: small RNA, 58 nt
Filed under: Salix viminalis (osier)
Lineage: Eukaryota; Viridiplantae; Streptophyta; Magnoliopsida; Malpighiales; Salicaceae
Source: RNAcentral
UUGCAACGGAUAAUCCGUUGCAAAUUAAAUUAAAAUUGCAACGGAUUUUCUGUUGCAA